This 324-nucleotide ribosomal RNA is filed under the name uncultured eukaryote. Its description in RNAcentral is "partial 18S ribosomal RNA". It matches the Rfam family "Eukaryotic small subunit ribosomal RNA", at positions 1470 to 1796 of the family's 1831-position model. The record is from RNAcentral.
CCCUUAGAUGUUCUGGGCCGCACGCGCGCUACACUGACGGAGUCAACGAGUUGUCCUGCAUCGGAAGGUGUGGGUAAUCUUUUGAAACUUCGUCGUGCUGGGGAUAGAUCUUUGCAAUUUUCGAUCCUGAACGAGGAAUUCCUAGUAAGCGUGAUUCAUCAGAUCGCGUUGAUUACGUCCCUGCCCUUUGUACACACCGCCCGUCGCUACUACCGAUUGAAUGGUUUAGUGAGGCCUCGGGACUGGCGCGCUCGAGUAGCAAUACACCUGCGCGCCGGGAACUUGGUCAAACUUGAUCAUUUAGAGGAAGUAAAAGUCGUAACA